UACAGAGGGGGCAAGCGUUAUUCGGAAUUAUUGGGCGUAAAGAGCUCGUAGGCGGUUUGUUGCGUCGGCUGUGAAAUCCCGAGGCUCAACCUCGGGUCUGCAGUCGAUACGAGCAAACUAGAGUGUUGCAGGGGAGACUGGAAUUCCUGGUGUAGCGGUGGAAUGCGCAGAUAUCAGGAGGAACACCGGUGGCGAAGGCGGCUCACUGGCCCGGUACUGACGCUGAGGUGCGAAAGCGUGGGGAGCAAACAGG
RNAcentral lists this ribosomal RNA (253 nucleotides) under uncultured bacterium. RNAcentral describes it as "partial 16S ribosomal RNA". It matches the Rfam family "Bacterial small subunit ribosomal RNA", at positions 524 to 776 of the family's 1533-position model. The record is from RNAcentral.